CUCAUAGUGACAGUUAUAUUCUGCUUUUAUCCAGUCUGUGUUAUCAAGAAACCACUUGCAAUGUCACUGAUGCCAAGUCUGAUCUUUAGUUGGAACAGAAAGUUGGUGUUGCCAGGCAUAAGCAGAAGAUAUCAGCAAGAAUAUUCUGGUAGAGUUCAUUGUGUUUUUGGCUAGACUCAACUUUGAAGCUCAGCUCCUUAUCUCUGCUACUGCCAGAAGCUGCAGGGCUGGCUCUUAGCACAGAAGAGAUAUGCUGCACUACCUUGCUGCUGAGCACAGAAAGAGGUUAACUUUUCAUCUGUCUGCUCUUCUGUAUCUGGAUGUAUCUGCUCUUGCUGUUGAACUGGAUGGCUGUUGUGAAAUGGCUUCGUUUGGAUCACAAACUGAAUAUCCCUUCAGCCACCAAGGAACUCAAACCCUUGGUAAAACCAACUCCUUGCUAAAUUCAUCACAAGCCACAGGUACAAAAACAAAAAGUCAACGCAGCGUGGCUCUCGCAGCAAUCUUCUCGUGGCAGCACUUCACAACACACAGCAAGGCUCUCCCAGCUGAAGAACAAAAACUUAUCGUUACAGAAGCAGAAACAAAGCAUUGUGCAUACCUUGCUGCUUCCGUUGCCUCAGGAAAACUCAGCUCAGAUUCCGUCUGUGGUUUUCAGCAAGAAUACUGCUUUUCCCUUCUUCCCGCACAACUUUCCAGCCAGAUUGACUGAACUGCAGAAAGGUCAAAUGACUUGCUUGGAGGUCCCUUCAGAUUGUCAUCGAGUUGCCCUCAAUUUGAGCUGAAGAGAGGUCUGGUCCCUAUACUGCAGCGGAGACACAGAGAUCGGGUUUCCAGAACGCUAGCAAUCCCCAGCUUGCCGCAAAGUCAGAUGGAGACGAGUGGCCACGGAGACCACGCAGGAAGAAAAAGGAAAUAAAGAAGAGCGACAGUUUGCA
RNAcentral lists this long non-coding RNA (938 nucleotides) under Phasianus colchicus (ring-necked pheasant). Its description in RNAcentral is "lncRNA (ENSPCLG00000012409.1)". Lineage: Eukaryota; Metazoa; Chordata; Aves; Galliformes; Phasianidae. The record is from RNAcentral.